AAUUUCCAGUAUUCUGGUCCUUAAUUAGGACUGUUAGUUUCAUUGAUUGAUCGAAAUAUGCAUUCCAAACUGACUAAAAAUGCAAUCUUUGAAGCUGACAACUCACUUGAAGUCUCUCUUAGAGAAGCUGAAAAGCUUCUGGAGCCCCAACUCAGACCCCCUUUUCCUUUAAAACUUCAAACUCAAGAAGAGUACUUCAACCUGAACAAAGCAAUUCUUUGUGGAAUUUUAUGUGAACCCCAAAUGGCCAGAGUCCACAUUAAGCACUUACAUGCUAUUGUCACUGAUGGCUACACUUAUUUUAUAUCCAUGCUUAUCAAGAUUGUUAAUGAGUUGUAUGCCAAACUCGUUGAUUCGGUGAAAACUCAGUUGAUUUGGGUGACGCGUGAAAUGGUGAAUGUGUUGGGAGUAGGAUUUGAUGGUUUAUUGGUGGCCCUUUUGAGGCAAAUUGUUGGUGGUGACUUUAGCGAAGGAAAUUUGUGGUUGUGUUUUGAGAUGAUUAGUCUCUUUAGGGACAAAUGGGAUUGUUUGUUGGAGGAUGAACCUCUAGUUUUGACCAGUGCUUUAUAUGUGUUUCUUCGUUUAUUGGCUGAUCAUUGUAGGUUGCCAAAUGACUCAAAAGUUGAAACCUUGAAGAGGUUUGAAAUUGAUUUUUGCAUUAGGAUGUUAAGGGAGAAAUUUGGUUUGUGUUUGAAGAUUGGAAGAGAUCUUGUUCGGAUUUUACAGGACUUGGUUCAUGUACCUGAGUUUCGCUCAAUUUGGAAAGACUUGUUAUUGAACCCUAGUGUGUUUCAGAAUGCUGCAUUUUUAGAUAUCUCACAGCUCUACCUUUCAAGGACUUCCAGUAGGUAUUUUCUGCUGCGGAUAACUCCUGAGAUGGAGAACCAGUUGAGGUUCUUGCUAACGCAUGUUAAAUUGGGAAAUCAAAAGAGGUACCAAGUUUGGUUUGCAAAGAAGUUUCUUGGUGUCCCUGAGAGGGAGACUCUUCUAACUGACAUUGUUAGGUUUAUUUGCUGCGGACAUCAUCCACCUAAUGAGAUUAUCCAGUCAGACAUCAUCCCGAGGUGGGCUGUCAUAGGCUGGUUGCUAAAAUCUUCCCAGAGGAAUUAUGUCGAAGCAAAUGUUAAGCUUGCCUUAUUCUAUGAUUGGCUUUUCUUUGAUGAGAAGGUAGAUAAUAUAAUGAACAUUGAGCCUGGGAUAUUGCUAAUGAUACAUUCCAUUCCUAGUUAUGUUGACAUAACUCAUACUCUUCUAGAAUUUCUCUUGAUGCUGGUGGAAAACUAUGACAUUGAAAGAAAAGAUGUAAUUGUCAAAGGGAUAUCUUCAGCUUUCACUUUUCUUGUUCGAAAAGGUGUGGUUCGAUCUCUUGAUGCUUUGACUUGUUCUGAUGUGAUCUCUCCUUUUCUCAAGCAAUUGUUUGGAAAAAUCUUCAAAGACAUGUUAGCAAGCCUUUCUGAGAGGGCAGUUGCCAAGUCUUCCUCUUAAACCAAUUUCUGCCCCACCUAAGGCUGCCUUGAACCUACAAUUUUAGUGGUUGGAUGGUCUCCCCUCUACUAGUCCACUAAUGUCCUUUUGUGGUCAAAACUUUGUUUUGGGCUUAUGUCCGGGACAACCAUCUGCUGAUUCUGACACAGUAAUGAUCAUUGCAAAGGUUUCUCCUUGGAGCUAGUGAGGUUUGUGCAAAUCCAUACACCUCUCAAUUGAAUAUUUUAAGGGAAUGGACUCUAGAUAUGCUGGAGAAAUGCUAAGGCAUUUGGAUAAGCAGAAUGAGCUCCUUGCUGAUGCCCACAGGUCAAUGCUGCAUGAACUGCAUAAACUCCAGGUAGAGGAAGAAAUGCUGAUGCGCAAGUUCUAUGAGUUCAUGUCAGCUCAAGGCCUCACUAGAAGGAAUGAAGAUGGUAAUGACAUGCAAAGAGAUUGCAAUAACGGUCAUGGCAAAACACUUGUUCAAGUGAUUGCUGACAAAUAGAAAGUUUCAUAAUUGGCGAGUUGGUAUGGGACAAGCGUGCGUGUGACAGUACAUGGGAAUUGGGAAAGCUCUCUUAAGGGCUAAAAGAAAGAUUUUGGAAUUUGGGGUUGAUUGCCCCUGGUCCCAUUAUUGGCUCCGCCACGGCGUGAUGGAGGAACUUGCCCCAACUUCACCACCUUUUCUUUUGUUUUCGGAAGAUUAAUGUGUCUUUUGUGAUUGUGCACUUGUUUAAGCUUAAAUCAAAGUAACAGCCGAAGACGUGUCUGGUUUUUCAUUGUUAUUGUAUCGGUAAAUUUAGGGGUGGGCACGAAUUGGAUACUCGCAUUGUGCAUCAUUUGGUUGAUUCGUCUUAUACUUCGCGCAUUAGUCAUUUUCUAUCCUUGGAUCCUUAUAUAUUAGCAGGUAUUCGGUUAUUAGAUUAGAUACCUACUAAUAGAGGGUUGGAUCACCGGUUAUUCGUUU
Coffea arabica (coffee) is the source of this 2431-nucleotide non-coding RNA. The record is from RefSeq and is a predicted model, not a curated record. Lineage: Eukaryota; Viridiplantae; Streptophyta; Magnoliopsida; Gentianales; Rubiaceae.